AUACGGAGGAUCCGAGCGUUAUCCGGAUUUAUUGGGUUUAAAGGGUGCGCAGGCGGGAGAUUAAGUCGGCGGUGAAAUUUUGCAGCUCAACUGUAAAAGUGCCUUCGAUACUGGUUUCCUUGAGUGUGGAUGAAGUAGGCGGAAUUUGUGGUGUAGCGGUGAAAUGCUUAGAUAUCACGAGGAACUCCGAUUGCGCAGGCAGCUUACUAAACCACUACUGACGCUCAGGCACGAAGGCGUGGGGAUCGAACAGGAUUAGAUACCCUGGUAGUCCACGCAGUAAACGAUGAUUACUGGCUGUUUGCGAUACAAUGUAAGCGGCUGAGCGAAAGCGUUAAGUAAUCCACCUGGGGAGUACGUUCGCAAGAAUGAAACUCAAAUGAAUUGACGGGG
This 393-nucleotide ribosomal RNA is filed under the name uncultured bacterium. RNAcentral describes it as "partial 16S ribosomal RNA". It matches the Rfam family "Bacterial small subunit ribosomal RNA", at positions 523 to 918 of the family's 1533-position model. The record is from RNAcentral.